AUGCUGUAUCUUAAGACAGAACUAUGCUGGAAAUGUUCCUGCAGCUGUUCCUUGGGAAACAUCUGUGGUGCUGGGCGUGGAAAUUCGUGCAUCUCCAUUCACCCUUCACGGAGCACUUUGUCUUGUGAAACAGAGGUAAACUGGAACAUGUGUUCCACUCUGUGCUUUCCUACAGCACCUGGAGGAGGAACAAUAUCCACACUCCAGAUCUGUGAUGGCAAGACACACUUCGGAAUGCGGGGAAGAAAAGAAGGGAGCAACCACUGAGAGGAUUUGAAUACCAGAGACUGGAGCUGAGAGACUCAUCCCGUAAACAUUACCUGAAUGAUGUCACUGCACGGAGCUGGCUGGAGGUCGGUUCCAUUAACAGCAGUUGUUCAAACUGGAGCAGAUCCAUGCCUGAAACAGCUUUUAUCCUCCCCAGAAAUCACUCAGCAUGCCAGCUCGUUCACUGUGGGAUAGGAGGGACACUCAGGUGUAUAUGCUGGGAGCUCCGGCCCACGUCAGGAAUACCCUGGGGAAAAGUCGUGCGUGUUUAUGGCAAUCUCCGAGUCCUUGGCAUCAAAAUAAACUUGAGGAAAGUGUUGGCCGUCA
RNAcentral lists this long non-coding RNA (594 nucleotides) under Cyanistes caeruleus (blue tit). Its description in RNAcentral is "lncRNA (ENSCCEG00000004305.1)". Lineage: Eukaryota; Metazoa; Chordata; Aves; Passeriformes; Paridae. The record is from RNAcentral.